RNAcentral lists this microRNA precursor (103 nucleotides) under Marmota monax (woodchuck). The record is from RNAcentral. Lineage: Eukaryota; Metazoa; Chordata; Mammalia; Rodentia; Sciuridae.
AGUGGGAUAACUGGGUCAAAUGGUGGUUUCAUUCCAAGUUUUCUAAAGAAUAUCCAUACUGCUUUCCAGAGUGGUUGCACCAAAUUGCAGUCCCACCAGUAAC